Molecule: ribosomal RNA, 305 nt
Filed under: uncultured bacterium
Lineage: Bacteria
Description: bacterial SSU rRNA
Rfam family: Bacterial small subunit ribosomal RNA
Source: RNAcentral
GUACCUACGGGGGGCAGCAGUAGGGAAUUUUCGUCAAUGGGCGCAAGCCUGAACGAGCAAUGCCGCGUGAACGAGGAAGGUCUUCGGAUCGUAAAGUUCUGUUGAAGGGGAAAAAGAGCGGAGAGAGGAAAUGAACUCCGAUUGAUAUUACCCUUCGAGGAAGUCACGGCUAACUACGUGCCAGCAGCCGCGGUAAUACGUAGGGAGCGAGCGUUGUCCGGAUUUCCUGGGUGUAAAGGGUGCGUAGGCGGCCCUGCAAGUCAGAAGUGAAAUCCCUGGGCUUAACCCGUAACCUGAUUUUGAAA